RNAcentral lists this microRNA precursor (121 nucleotides) under Marmota monax (woodchuck). The record is from RNAcentral. Lineage: Eukaryota; Metazoa; Chordata; Mammalia; Rodentia; Sciuridae.
CAGGGUGACCAACCUUUCCCAGUUUGCCAGGGACUUUCCUGGUUUCAACACUGAAAUUCCCAUGUCCCAGGCAACCCUUUGAUCCUGGGCAAACUGGGACAAUUGGUCAACCUAGGCUAAA